This 84-nucleotide transfer RNA is filed under the name Caenorhabditis japonica. RNAcentral's name for it is "tRNA CJA47870". It matches the Rfam family "tRNA". Rfam says of the family: Transfer RNA (tRNA) molecules are approximately 80 nucleotides in length. Their secondary structure includes four short double-helical elements and three loops (D, anti-codon, and T loops). Further hydrogen bonds mediate the characteristic L-shaped molecular structure. tRNAs have two regions of fundamental functional importance: the anti-codon, which is responsible for specific mRNA codon recognition, and the 3' end, to which the tRNAs corresponding amino acid is attached (by aminoacyl-tRNA synthetases). tRNAs cope with the degeneracy of the genetic code in two manners: having more than one tRNA (with a specific anti-codon) for a particular amino acid; and 'wobble' base-pairing, i.e. permitting non-standard base-pairing at the 3rd anti-codon position. The record is from Rfam by way of RNAcentral. Lineage: Eukaryota; Metazoa; Nematoda; Chromadorea; Rhabditida; Rhabditidae.
GCCGGAGUAGCCAAGUGGCAAAGGCGUGGGCCCUGGGAACCCAUGGAUGUAAAUCCUUUGGGGGUUCGAUUCCCCCCUCCGGCA